This 122-nucleotide ribosomal RNA is filed under the name Nicotiana attenuata. Lineage: Eukaryota; Viridiplantae; Streptophyta; Magnoliopsida; Solanales; Solanaceae. The record is from RNAcentral.
AGUACCAUACAUAAGAGAAAUAUGACACGCACCGGAUCCCAUCAGAACUCCGAAGUUAAGCGUGCUUGGACGAGAGUAGUACUAGGAUGGGUGACCCCCUGGAAGUCCUCGUGUUGCAUCCC